GUGUGGAAGAUGCCCCUCCCGGUUCCUGUGUUCUCCAAAGAAGCCUGCCGUGCGGCCUUGUGAGGAUGGCUUAUUGGACCUCAGGUUUGGUGUUCUCGGCAGCUCCAGGGACUCCACUUCCUCUCUGGUUCCCACUCUUGCCUCUGGAGAUCCCAUCCGGCUCUGGCCAACAUAUCAGGUCCUCCAUGAAGCAGAUGGACGUGUGCCUUUCCUUGCAUGGCCUGGGGGCUGAGAGUAACACGCAUAAUGGCUUCCAAACGCCCUUGGAGUUGACUUCCUACUGCUCCUUUUCAGUUUAUGUGGAUCCAUGACACAGAAAUUCUCCAACCCAGUCCCUGUGUUGACGCCUUCUAGUUUAGCAGAACCCAACAAGAGGGUAAACCCCAGAACAGUAAGUUCUGCUGCAGAAGCAAAUGACAAAUAUAUGGAAAAGGACUUCAAAAGGCUGUAGUAUCAAAGUGGCAGUUAAAGAGAAGACAACGCUCAGAGUCGCAGCUGCAGAGGGUAGCGGCUGCAUCAACAUCCUAAAUUCCGGAAACAUCUUGGGCUGAAUCAUUUCUUUGCAGCAUUUCUUCCAACCCCUUUCCUUUGAUAUACAGGAGC
Long non-coding RNA from Suricata suricatta (meerkat), 603 nucleotides. RefSeq lists it as uncharacterized. NCBI's taxonomy places the organism in Eukaryota, Metazoa, Chordata, Mammalia, Carnivora, Herpestidae. The record is from RefSeq and is a predicted model, not a curated record. The transcript has 3 exons.